CGAGACCAUCCUGGCUAACACGGUGAAACCCCGUCUCUACUAAAAAUACAAAAAGUUAGCCGGGCCUGGUGGUGGGUGCCUGUAGUCCCAGCUACUCAGGAGGCUGAGGCAGGAGAAUGGCGUGAACCCAGGAGACGGAGCUUGCAGUGAGGCAAGACUGGGCCACUGCACUGCAGCCUGGGUGACAGAGCAAGACUCCGUCUCAAAAAAUAAAUAAAUAAAUAAUAAAUAAAUAAAUAAAUAAAUAAAUAGAAGGGAAGGCUUACUCUCAGAUACACACACACAAAAUAGGUUGGAAGAAGUACCAAAACUUAAGCACUAAAGGGUAUAUUGUACAAAAUGGUUCUGUCUUCAAAGACAAAAAUCAACUCUCUGACUUUAGUUUGAAAGGCAAUUCAAUUUAGUUUAAAAAGCCAAACUUUAUUUAUAAGCUUCCAACACUAAGACUUGGUGCAACCAAAUUUUCUACUUGCCAACUUUAUUUUGCAUUUAUUCUGUAUAUAUUCAUAAGUGUAUAUAUAUAUGCAUAUCUGUGCAUAGGCAUGUGUACACAGAGCCACUGUUGUGGUCGGGACAUUCAUACCAUCCAGUAAUCUUGGCUAAUACCCAGCAUUAACGGAAAGUGAUUUAAGCAAAUGGGGGCUAACAUGAGAAAAGAUCGUGCUUAUAGGGAAAUUUUAACACAGCUCUUUGGUUGCUCUAUGGAAAUGUGUGGCUUUGUUUCCAUGCAGACUGUACUGAAAGAUCCCAUAUUGUCAGCAGCACUUGUAUAUACUUUGGAAGUUUUGUCCAAGUUUCAUAAAUCUUGUCAUAUAUCAAGUUAUUCUAAAUAUGGCCAAAGUAAAUAAUCUGCAGCCAGAAGAGUGAAAGGUCAUUUGUGCCCUAAUUGCAGAACAAUGUCCUCUCUCAGUCAAUGCCACGGCUCUCCUUUCAUUAAUCAGGCCUUUGGUGAGUAACAUCUAUUCAUGUUAGAGUUUUCUCUGAACAAGUUUCAGAAUAUAAACCAGUCUGGAAUUGAGAUAUUUAAUUGUUUGGGUGAUAGUCAAAAAACUCUCAUGUAGCUUUUUUUUCUUUUUUAAUAAUUGUAAUAUUGAGAAACAAGAUAAACUUAAGAGGAACGUCAAUCUCAGCAAUUUGGAAACACUCAUAAAUCCUCUCACCCCUGUUACCCCUGGCUAAACAUGAUUCAGCUUCAUUCUCUAGUUUGAUGUUCUCCCCCACCCUCCAUUUUCAGCUAUUAAUCUCAUUGAGCUUCUCUGUCUUGACAUUAAACUACUCAAAAUUUAACAAAACAUUACUCAGACUCCAGAGACACGGAUUCUUCAUGCUUUUGUGUGAAAGCUGCUUUUAUCUAGACAUUCCUUUACAAGCAUGUAAAACCAAGAUAGAACUGUGACCUCCUGUUGGAUAGCUUUAGGGGUCUGAUAUUCAGCAGUUCUUGUAGGGCUUCCAUCCAAACACUGGUUUGGCGUUUCAACUUUACCUCCUUCUUGUACCUGAGAUAUAAUUAGUGUUACCUACAUCUCAGGUAGGGUACUUGCCUUUUUCUCUGAUGGCAGCCACCUUCUUAUUACCCCCAUCCAGUAAUUUGUCUGAGGGCAGAACCUGUGUCUCCCUUUUGCUAUUUUCUGUUUCAUUAAUUCCCAAGGAGAGCAUAUGCACUGUCUUACUGUGUUUAAACAAAAUUCACUUAAGUGAUAAGAUACUGAGAGUAAAGACUGAUGCAAAGGGUUGUCCUACUCUUGGCAAAGCAAACAAACAGAUAAGCAAAAAACUAGACCUGAGGUUCUAUACGUAGCCAUCCAUCCAUCCAUCCAUUCAUCCAAUAGGUAUUAGGUGCCUACCAUGCAUCAGUACUGAUACAAUGAUGACUAGGACAGAAUCCCUGUUUUCCUAGGGCUUAUAUUCCAGUGGGGAAUGACAGGUAGUACAUAUAUACAAAUAACAUAGUUUCUAUUACUGAGAACCACAGACAAACUAACAAGAGCAUUGCCAUGGAGAGAAAGGUUCUGGAGAGUAGGAGUUUAAUAUUAAAUAGAAUGCCUGGGAAGUCCACCCUGAGAACAUGAUAUUUGAGUUGAAUCAUAAGAAACAGCUAGCUGUAGGAGGGCAAGGGGACAUUGUAGUCAGAGCGGGCAUCUGGUGCAAAGGCAUGGAAUCAGGAAAUCGUUUGGAGUAUCAGAGAAAAUGGUCUAAAAGCCAUAUAGUCUUUGGAGUGGCCAGUUUGGGCUUUUUAUUAGUUGGGACCUUUGGAGGGGAACCUGUGGGCAUAUGUGUGUUUUGAAAGAGACACCUGCAUCCUUUGACCUCUAGCUCUGAAUCUUAGAGUGGUCAUGGCUCAGUGGAGCCAGGUGCCUGCACAUUGGAUUUUUCUGAUUAUUUCCCCUGCAUCUCACUCAGGAACUGAUCAUCAAGAAAACUAAAAUCAAAAUUGAACAUCUCCAAGAUACAAUCUAAUCUAUGAGUUAGAAGUAAAUGGCUCAUUUGUCUCACAGAGCGAAAGACCAAUAUAAAUGAUGGGGAAAAAUCGACCUGGUUUCCUGGGAACUGUUUUGUUCCAAUCUUUUCCAUUCCAUUUCAUCCUAUCCCAUCCCUUUCCCCAAUUCUCUGCCCUUGAAUAAUGUCUUUUUGUUGCAACUUGCUGCCUUAUUUCUAAUUAAAUGCUGCUUUUAAUUUUAAACAGUUUCUACUGAUAUGAAAUGGUUGAAUUCAUAAAAUUAAGUUUAUUAUUUUCUGUUGGGGUCUCUGACACGCCUAGAUUUGUUCCUUAAUUUGGGAAUACAUGAACUACACCUAUUGACUCAAUCUUUGAUAGAAAUUGAUGAAAUAUUGUGACUUUAAAAAAAAUUAUCAUUGCUUCCUUCAUCCUGUUGUUGGGGGCGUCUCCAGAAUGUUGGAUCCUAGGCUACAGAGAGAGGGGUGAACAUAGUGUGAUCCCACCUUCGCAGCUCCCACAGUGUAUGGGGAACAAAAACAAAGAAAGUAGCAGAAAGAGGCAGAAGUGAGGUCCUAGGGCAACCAAGAGUCAAUUCAUUUGCUCUGGAAAAAGGCCAAGGCAAGUCAGGAAGAAGUUGGAGAGUGGCUAGAGUUAGGCACGUAGUCUCCAGCUCCCCUGACAUUGCCAGUUCGGCUCACUACAAGGAGGGCAGCAGCAGAUCCAAUCUCACCUCUCCAGCUUCUGGGAAGAAGACACUACUCUCUCAGGUUAGUUCCAUGACUUGACUAAAUGGGGGCUUGGCUAUCUUGACAGAGUCUCAUUCCAGCCCUGUUCACAUGCUCGGUGGUUGUGGAAAUACAGACUCCAAGUCAUUCAACACUUUUAGCACCUUCCUGAGACCAUUUACUCUCUAAAAUGGAGUCUACCUGCUUCCACCUGAGAGCUAAAGAACCUUCUCUUUGAUCAAGCUGAGUUCCAGAGUUCCAAGUUUCCCAGGAUUCAGAGAUCCCUGGCCCAGCUGUGAUAUGCAGUCUCAAAACACAAAACAUCUGGAGAGAUGAUAUGAACAGUUCAUCUUUCCCUAUUUAUAUUUGAAGGCUAAGGCAAUGUUUAUGGAAUAAAGAAUUUGUUUAAAUGAAUGUCUGAACAUUAUGAAUUCCUUGUUAUACUUUAUCUGGCUUCACAAUUGAUGUAGUGAACCAAGAUCUCUCUAUACAUAUACUCACAUGCAUACACAUACACAUAGGCUUAUAGUCAUAAAGCUAUAUAGUCAUAUAUACAUGUAUCUAUAUAUCAAAAAAGAGAUUGUUAUUUUUCUUUAUGUACCUAGGGAAAUCCCUGAACCUAUUAAGGCCACUAUAUUCAUUUCUCUAAAGUCUAAAAGCAGACUGGAAGGAUGGAAUAUGAGUAUAACACGAAAGUAAUAUUUUUCACAAAGUCAUGGCUAUUAAGAACCUUAUAGUCUUUGAGUGGAGUGUAUAAUUUGAAAUUAAAGUUUCAUAACUGAGUAUCCUUCUUUUUAGAAGAAAAAUGUUCUCAUAAAUCUGUUACCCAAAAUGCUUUUGAAAGAAAAUUUACCAUUUUCUUCAACUUUAAAAUCAUACUUGCAAGGGAAGCUCUGUGCAGAGAUGUUUGGCAUAAAUAUGAAUGACAAUAUAUAAAAACUAUUACCACACUACUAAAAAAUGUUGGGCAGCUUUGACCUGGUUAUUUGAUUGAACUUUCUGAAUCUGAUUUGUCAACUGAAGACAAGUAAAAGUUUUUUUACAAAUUCUAUCCUUAGCCUCUCAAUUAAUCUCAAAUAUUUGUUCAGAGAAAUAAUUGAAAAUUCUGACUGUAUCCUGACUGAAAUGUGGAUCACUGGGGGCCUCAAAGCUUCAGUGUGUUUAGUUCCCUAUGGUUUUGAGGCACAUGCCCUAUGUGAACCUUUUGAAGGACAGAAAAAUUCAUAACUGACUAGCAAUUGGUUAACUUUAGUUAAAAAGUGAAACACCUACUCUAGUGGUGCAAAAGAUGUCUGCAAAGGGCAAAAUCUUCAGCUUUGAAAGGCAUUCAGCAAUGUCAAUAGACUAGCACUUGAGAGUCACCUAAAAUUUAUUUGUAUUACUUUUCACCCAAUUUUAAAGAAGAAUAUUUCUAAGAUAAAAGCUUAAAACUUUUUAAUUAAAAAAAAAAAACUAAACUCAGUACUCCUAAGCCUUCAUAGAUAUAUACUUCAGUAUCUUGCAUGACAUUGAAAGCUCUAAUAACCAAAUUCUUUCCUGACUCCUAAUUAUGUGUCCUUGUUCUUCUGUUUAAAGUAACAUUUUGUGUCUAUUUGUGUAUAUGCAUGUGUACACAUUUGUGUGAGUUCACAAAUGAUUACUCUGAUGAAUGUUAAUUUAUAUCAAUCUAACCAAAAUAAAAU
RNAcentral lists this long non-coding RNA (4844 nucleotides) under Homo sapiens (human). RNAcentral's name for it is "HSALNT0303192". Lineage: Eukaryota; Metazoa; Chordata; Mammalia; Primates; Hominidae. The record is from RNAcentral.